Molecule: ribosomal RNA, 345 nt
Filed under: Triticum aestivum (bread wheat)
Lineage: Eukaryota; Viridiplantae; Streptophyta; Magnoliopsida; Poales; Poaceae
Description: partial small subunit ribosomal RNA
Source: RNAcentral
AUGAAAAUAAUCCAUGAAGCUAUUGACAUGAUACGUGAGCUGAUGAAGUAUAUUGACUCUUCUCCUUCAAGACUUCAAGAUUUCAAUACAAUUGCAAGUGGGAUGGGUCUACGUGCAAAGAAAGGCAUCUCUGUUGAUACACCAACCAGAUGGAACUCAACCUGGAAAAUGCUUGUAGAAGCAUUGACGUACAAAUCUGUUCUCACUAGUUAUGCCAACAGAAAGAUGAUAGAUUCUCCAAGUGAGGAGGAAUGGGAGAAGGCAAAAGCUAUUUGUGAGUUUCUAAAAGCUUUUGAAGAGCUUACUUUGAUUGUUUCGGCUCAUACAUUGAAAGAUCCGGGUUGG